This 300-nucleotide unclassified non-coding RNA is filed under the name uncultured fungus. RNAcentral's name for it is "sequence contains 5.8S rRNA gene, ITS2". The stretch from base 1 to 76 matches the Rfam family "5.8S ribosomal RNA", at positions 84 to 154 of the family's 154-position model. The record is from RNAcentral. Lineage: Eukaryota; Fungi.
GUGAGUCAUCGAAUCUUUGAACGCAUAUUGCACCGGCGGGGACAACGCAUCCGCCGGUCUGCCUGUCUGAGUAUCACGUACACCCCAGUGCCAAUAACGGGCGUGCCCGGACAUUGAGCGGCUGGAGAUCGCGCGCUAGUAGAUAGUGGGCGGAAGUGGGUUGUGGAUAGUAAUGUCCAUUCCCUUAAACCGAGUGGCUGCGACGGAUGCGCACACUACAGGCCGUGUUGAAGCAUUGUUAAUCAUCCUCGGAUGUCUCUGCUUACUAACAACACGCGUCCCGGUAGGCAUCGACGGCAC